GAUAAACAGAUUCUCCUCCCCCUCCCCCUCUAGUGGUAUUAUUUCAGGUGCUAAUGUUAUCAAGGCCAGUAAACCAAUUGGUGGUAUGUGGAUAGCUCUCUCCUUCCUCUGGCUAUUAUUAGUACCCUGGGCAGCCAUCAUGAUAUUCCUCAUUCAUCAUUAUUAUUGUCUGUCUGGCGGUUCAUUAGAUAAAGCAGCUGCUGAGGCUGCCAAAGGUGCUGCUGGUAACAAAUAUGUGAGAGACGCAACCAAAGGAGCAGUUAGAGCCGGAGUGAGUGCCUCAGUAGCAGCUGCCACUUCCAGUGACUGAAUGGAA
This is a long non-coding RNA of Amphimedon queenslandica, 316 nucleotides long. RefSeq lists it as uncharacterized. The record is from RefSeq and is a predicted model, not a curated record. Lineage: Eukaryota; Metazoa; Porifera; Demospongiae; Haplosclerida; Niphatidae. The transcript has 2 exons.